Molecule: RNA transcript, 618 nt
Organism: Mus musculus (house mouse)
Lineage: Eukaryota; Metazoa; Chordata; Mammalia; Rodentia; Muridae
Gene name: predicted gene, 53824
Exons: 2
Source: RefSeq, a predicted model, not a curated record
UCUUCUCCUCUCCUUCUCCUAUUCCUCCCCUUCUUCAUCUUUUCAUUCUUCCUUGAGCCUCCUGGCCCACUAGGGCCCUUGUAUCUUGCAUCACCUCUGCCCUCUCAAGGCAUGCAAUAUCCUGUAUCUCAUUCUUCCUUUAGUUCAGCUGCCUUCUCUUCACAUGGUGGUCUAUCUUGGGCUGUCUGCUCAGACCACAUCUCACCCAAUUUCCUUGCUACAUUCCCAGUGGACAAGCCCGGUGAUUCACUCUUGAUCUUUGGACAAUAUUCAGAAUGAAGCAGGAAGAAAGCAAGCGGUAGUCUUUUGCAUGAAGGUCCUCUCCAAGAACUCAGCAAAGCUGACUGGAAUCCAGGCAUUUCUUUCUGUUCUCUUGGAAGUCUGCAGGAAGACAGCUCCUGGGCCUUUUCUUCCUCCAGCCAACCCAGUCUCCUUCACCCAAGGUGACCCAUGGCGUGCGGGGAGAAGGGGGGCUCUAUCUGAGUGGGCUUUUUCCUGAGUCCAAACCAGAUGCUUCCUUCUCCAUACGAUUGUCAGCUGGCUUCACUUUUCAUAUUAUUUUAAGCUUUAAUUAUUUUUCUCUCCUUGUGGAGCAACAAUUGUGGUAAUAAAACCAGA